AUCACUUCUCAGCCUUUUGGCUAAGAUCAAGUGUAGUAUCUGUUCUCAUCACCUUAGUAUUGCUACAUCCUCUAUUCAAGACUAAGAGCUAAAUCCUAAGAUUAAGAGAAAAAUAGUCCUGCUAUAGCAGAGCCUGAAUGAAGCCGCCACAGAAACAAAGUGAUCCACUAGCAAUUUAGUGGAUCAACCCUCU
This 193-nucleotide small nuclear RNA is filed under the name Canis lupus familiaris (dog). RNAcentral's name for it is "U2 spliceosomal RNA (ENSCAFG00030018239.1, ENSCAFG00805024176.1)". It matches the Rfam family "U2 spliceosomal RNA". Rfam says of the family: U2 is a small nuclear RNA (snRNA) component of the spliceosome (involved in pre-mRNA splicing). RNAcentral also lists the same sequence under 1 other name. Lineage: Eukaryota; Metazoa; Chordata; Mammalia; Carnivora; Canidae. The record is from RNAcentral.